CCUCAUCAAUUUUCAGCACAUCAGCUACUGAACAAAUUCAGAAGAUUUGCAGAAUGAUAACCCAACAGAUUUCUUUUGAAGGUUAAACCUCUAACUCUCUUACUCGAGCACUUCUUUUGAAACAGAAACUCAAGUUAGAACCCAUACAUAACACGUACACUGAUUCCAUCAUAUAUAUAAAUUUGCAUAUGACAACAAGACCCAAACUCAAUGAUGUUUAUUUAUCGUCUGUGCAUAUACAUACAUACAUGAAGCAUGUUUUUUUAAAAAUAGAAAAGAAGUAGAUAUUGAAGCUCUGUUUUCUUUUAUCCUUGUUUUCGAACUGCUGUGUCGAGUCGGGUAGACGAGUGUGGUGGCUGUGUGAAUUGAGUCGGGAGGUGGACGGAGGCACGGCACGGCAGCGGCGCUGCUGUCGCCCGGCCACGGUGAGAGAGAGGGAGCUAGGGCUCGGACGCCGCUCUUCGCGGUGGGAUGUCGGGCCUGUUUCAGCCGAGAGAAGGGAGAACCGAGGGGUAGUGGUUGUCGCCGUUGCUCCGGCGAGCUCCAGCGGCCGUGAGAGCAGUUGAGAGGGAGACGAGCAGCGAGAGUGGAAGAGGGAGGCCAGAGCUCGGCGGCCUUGGCUGCUGUUGCUCGGCCACGGUCGGAGAAGUAGAGGAGAGUCGGAGUCAGCGGCGGUCGGUGGCGGUUCUCGCUGCUAUCGCCGGAGUUCCAGAGGAAGGAGGAAGGAGGAGAAGGCGGUCUAGUCGGGAACCUGUGUUGAACUUGGCCCCGUCAGAGCUUCUAGCUCGAUUGUGUCGAGUCGAGAGGAUUGGAAUGGAGGCUCUCAUAGAGAGGAUGCACGGCUCGUUUGACGAGUGAGUUGCAGGACGGCGGCGACCUUGGCCUUGCUGCCGUCGACCUGAGGAGGGAACCGAGCGUCGUCAGCGGCUGUCGUUGUUGCUCCGGCAAACUUCGGCGGUGGCGAAAUUCUGAGGGAGAAGGGUGCUGCUGCGUGCGUGAGUUUGUGUAGGUAGAGGAAAAACUAGGGAGAAGAAGAUGGGGUAGAGGGAAAGGGACGGUCGUCGGCUUCUCGCCGGAAGGAGCCGCGGCAGCGGGAAUGAUGGCUGAGAGAGAGAGGUCGAGAGAGAGAGGGGGCUGAGCGGGUUACUGGCGACGCUGGGUGCGUGCGUCUGUGUGUGAGGCGGCGGUACGGCUGGUGUCGUGUCGUCGCCGGAGUCAGAGGGUGGCCGGCGCCGUGUCCGGUUAAUGCCGUGCGGCCGUGAGUCCGAGAGGGAGAGAUAGAGCAGUCGAGAGGGAGAGAGAGCAGUCGUGAGAUGAGAGAUAAGAGAGGGUGUGCGGCUGAUAGGGAGAAGAUAGAGAAGGGUUGGGGGUGUUGGGCUUUGGAGUGGGCUUGAGCAUAUGGGCCGAAAAUUUUAAAGGUUGGGCUUUGUUAUUUCCUUAUUUGGGCCGAGUAUUUGGGCCGAUUUUUAUGAGUGAUGGGCUUCGAUUUUUAAAUAGAUUUGGGCUGCGAUUUUUAAAAGCUUGGGCCGAUUUUUAAUUUUAUUUAGCUGGGCCCGAUUUAUUUUAUUCAGUCUGGGCCAUUCAUAUUUUAUUGAGUUGGGCCUCAUCUUUUAAAUUUAUAUGGGCUAUUAUUUAUUUAAGCAUGAGCUCUAUUUCAUCUAUUUAAAUGACUUCCCUAUUUUAUUUAAUUAGACUAUUAAUUAGUUUGAUUAAUUAUUUUUAAAGACUUUGGAUUGCCUUCAAUUAAUUAAAUUGGGCUUUCUUAUUUUUAAUUAAUUGAACUAUUAUUAGUUUGAUUAAUUUAUUUAAAGGAUAAUUUUUAUAAUAAUAUUAAAUUAUUAUUAAGUGCAUAUUUUAAGUAAUUACUUAUCAUAUGCUAAGCAUGACAUGACAUUUCAUUUGCAUCAUGAAAUAAAAAGUAUUUAUGAUUCAAUUGGUUUUAUUUAUAAUUCCAAUUAUUAAAGAAAGAUGAGUAAGAAUAUUGUUGGUGUUCUUAACUCAAGAGAAAUGUUUUCAAGUAUUUAUUCAUUAAAUUUUGAAACCCGGCGUGACGAAUUUUAGAAUGUUAAGUAUUUUCCACUAAGACUUUAAGUUAGCUUCACGAGACCUAUUAAGAAUAGAAUUUCUUGUAGGCUUUGUGGACCAAGGGGAUUAGCGCUGCUUUCCCAAGACAGGUUAUGUGAUUAUGAUCUUCAGGCUUUGCCUAUCCAGGUGGGCAUUAUUUUAUUAUUACGUAUAUAGAGAUCCCCUGCGUGACGUAGGCCUCAUAUGCGAAUAUAUAUGCAUGAUAUGUUUUGACUAUUUAUUCAGUUCUUAUAAAAUGCUUAUAUGUUCAAUGACCCUUAUGAAAUGAAAAUGAAAUGUUAUGAAAAUGAAAUGUUUAUGAAAUGAUUGACUGCCAAAAAUGUUUAUGUUUUUUAUAUGUAUCCUAUCUGUGUUGGUUCGCCAACUUUAAAGGAAAUCCAAUUGGGAUCCUAUGCUAGACAAAGGUCGCUAGCUAGGGUUAACGUGUACACUUAUGGAGACCGCGAGUCGCUUGCGACCGGUCUUGGCGUCCGUGGUAAGGAGGCCUCCUUCCCGGCGCGUGACAGAAAGGAACAGAUAUGGAUCAUAUGAAGGAAAAUGAUCGGCCGAUCGACUUUAUGAAAAUGAAAGAAAUGUUUUAGUAAGCGCAGGUCAUUUAAGAAACCCCUGUGUGUUACUGUUAUGGCAGUUCAAUUUAUAUAUGUAUGCAUGUCGUAUUUUCGGCUAUGCCCACUGAGUAUUUUUAUACUCAGCCCUGCAUGUAUUUCUAAAUGUGCAGGUUGAGCAGUUGAUGGAAUGGAAUGAUGUUGAGCGGGUGUUCCUUUGACAUUUUAAGAAAUGUAACCUUGAGUAUACAUCUUCAUAUGUAUAUCUCACACGUUUUCCGCUGCAAAACACUUUGAUUAGGAUAGCUCUAUGAUAUGAAGUUGUGAUACGUGUUAUUGGGUAACCACCUUAAUC
Molecule: long non-coding RNA, 2985 nt
Filed under: Salvia miltiorrhiza (redroot sage)
Lineage: Eukaryota; Viridiplantae; Streptophyta; Magnoliopsida; Lamiales; Lamiaceae
Description: long non-coding RNA (SMIL_LNC002209)
Source: RNAcentral